Molecule: ribosomal RNA, 261 nt
Filed under: uncultured bacterium
Lineage: Bacteria
Description: partial 16S ribosomal RNA
Rfam family: Bacterial small subunit ribosomal RNA
Source: RNAcentral
UACAGAGGGUGCGAGCGUUGUCCGGAUUUACUGGGCGUAAAGAGCGCGCAGGCGGUCGUUCAAGUCGCGUGUGAAAGCCCCCGGCUCAACUGGGGAGGGUCACGCGAUACUGAUCGACUCGAAGGCAGGAGAGGGUAGUGGAAUUCCCGGUGUAGUGGUGAAAUGCGUAGAUAUCGGGAGGAACACCGGUGGCGAAGGCGACUACCUGGCCUGUUCUUGACGCUGAGGCGCGAAAGCUAGGGGAGCGAACAGGAUUAGAAA